RNAcentral lists this ribosomal RNA (1608 nucleotides) under Legionella micdadei. Its description in RNAcentral is "bacterial LSU rRNA". It matches the Rfam family "Bacterial large subunit ribosomal RNA", at positions 1329 to 2925 of the family's 2925-position model. The record is from RNAcentral. Lineage: Bacteria; Pseudomonadati; Pseudomonadota; Gammaproteobacteria; Legionellales; Legionellaceae.
CCCACUCGCCGGAAGUCUAAGGUUUCCUGCACGACGUUAAUCGGAGCAGGGUGAGUCGGCCCCUAAGGUGAGGCAGAAAUGCGUAGCUGAUGGGAACCAGGUUAAUAUUCCUGGACUUUUUGUAAGUGGUGAAGCGGGGACGAAGAAGGCUAGGUGAGCCGGGCGAUGGUUGUCCUGGUACUUGCAUGUAGGCUGAGGGGUUAGGCAAAUCCGGCCCCUUGUUAAGGCUGAGGUGCGAAGUGGUUCUGACACUACGGUGUGCGGAGAAGUCAUUGAUGCCAAGCUUCCAGGAAAAGCCGCUAGCCAUAACUUACAGAGAACCGUACCGCAAACCGACACAGGUGGACAAGUAGAGAAUACUAAGGCGCUUGAGAGAACUCGGGUGAAGGAACUAGGCAAAAUGGUACCGUAACUUCGGGAGAAGGUACGCCCUUUUUGGUGAAUUGACAUGCUUAAUGAGCUGAAGAGGGCCGCAGAGACCAGGUGGCUGCGACUGUUUAUUAAAAACACAGCACUCUGCAAAUUCGUAAGAAGACGUAUAGGGUGUGACGCCUGCCCGGUGCCGGAAGGUUAAUUGAUGGGGUUAUCUUCGGAGAAGCUCUUGAUCGAAGCCCCGGUAAACGGCGGCCGUAACUAUAACGGUCCUAAGGUAGCGAAAUUCCUUGUCGGGUAAGUUCCGACCUGCACGAAUGGCGUAACGAUGGCCACACUGUCUCCACCCGAGACUCAGUGAAAUUGAAAUCGCUGUGAAGAUGCAGUGUACCCGCGGCUAGACGGAAAGACCCCGUGAACCUUUACUAUAGUUUUGCACUGGACUUUGAUGAUGACUGUGUAGGAUAGGUGGGAGGCUAUGAAGUGCGGACGCCAGUUCGCAUGGAGCCGCCGUUGAAAUACCACCCUGUUAUUAUUGAGGUUCUAACUUGGGCCAGUAAUCCUGGCUGAGGACAGUGUAUGAUGGGUAGUUUGACUGGGGCGGUCUCCUCCCAAAGAGUAACGGAGGAGCACAAAGGUACCCUCGGUACGGUCGGACAUCGUACCAAGAGUGUAAAGGCAAAAGGGUGCUUGACUGCGAGAGUGACGGCUCGAGCAGGAACGAAAGUUGGUCUUAGUGAUCCGGUGGUUCUGAAUGGAAGGGCCAUCGCUCAACGGAUAAAAGGUACUCCGGGGAUAACAGGCUGAUACCGCCCAAGAGUUCAUAUCGACGGCGGUGUUUGGCACCUCGAUGUCGGCUCAUCACAUCCUGGGGCUGAAGCAGGUCCCAAGGGUAUGGCUGUUCGCCAUUUAAAGUGGUACGCGAGCUGGGUUUAGAACGUCGUGAGACAGUUCGGUCCCUAUCUGCCGUGGGCGUAGGAAAAUUGAGAGGAGCUGCUCCUAGUACGAGAGGACCGGAGUGGACGAACCUCUGGUGUACCGGUUGUGACGCCAGUUGCAUUGCCGGGUAGCUAAGUUCGGACGGGAUAACCGCUGAAAGCAUCUAAGCGGGAAGCCUCCCUCAAGAUGAGUUUUCCCAUGAAGCCCGUUGAAGACUACGACGUUGAUAGGCGAGGUGUGGAAGCACAGUAAUGUGUGUAGCUAACUCGUACUAAUUGGCUGAUUGUCUUGACCAUA